Molecule: long non-coding RNA, 1508 nt
Filed under: Macaca fascicularis (crab-eating macaque)
Lineage: Eukaryota; Metazoa; Chordata; Mammalia; Primates; Cercopithecidae
Description: lncRNA (ENSMFAG00000063003.1)
Source: RNAcentral
UUUUUUUCCCAUUAUCAGUGUACAUUAAAAAACAUAUAAUAGCACUGUAUAAGUGUGGUUCCUAGAUCUCCAGCAUCUAGGAACUUGAUAAAAAUCAACUUUUCAUACUUAUACCUAAUAAGCCAGAAACACUAAGGUCAGGACCCAGAAAACUGGGUUUAAAAAGCCCUCAGGUGAUUCUUAUCCACACUAAAUUUAAACAAAUCACUGACUAACCAAAGCUAUCUAGAAAUAUAGUCCUUUAUUGAUUCUAAUAAUUUAGCAAGAACAGAUAUUUAAUCAGCACACUUCGCUACUUAAAACAAUCUCAGUAAAAAGACAAUAUUACCUAUUUAUGGUAAUCUCAAGAAAAGGUAUAGAAGCUAACAUGGGAAAGGUAGCCGACAUUCUUUCUCUGAAGUAAAACAGAAACUUCCAUGUAAAUGAUAAUUCUGACUCCUGACAGACACCCCCUCUUGUCCCACAAUUCAACCCGUGCAAGUUUUCAUUAUUUCCAACAAAUGAAACAAUCGUAACAUUACUCUCAAUUUACCUGUCUCCCUUCAUACAACUCAAGAACAUGUUCCAACCACAUUAAAAUUUGCUUACUGGCCAGGCGUGGUGGCUCACACCUGUAAUCCCAGCACUUUGUGAGGCCGAGGCAGGCAGAUCACCUGAGGUCAGGAGUUCCAAGACCAGCCUGGCCAAUGUAGUGAAACACUGUCUCUAUUAAUUAAAAACAAACAAACAAACAAAAAAAAACUAGCCAGGCGUGGUGGCGAUCGCCUGUAAUCCCAGCUCCUCGGGAGGCGGAGGCAAGAGAAUUGCUUGAACUUGGGAGUCGGAGGUUGCAUGACUUAUGUUAAUGCCACUGAACUCCAGCCUGGGCUGUGAGAUACUGUCUCACUUUACAAAUAUUAGCAAUGCUGCCUCAUUCAUUCACUUAAUAUUUCUUCAACAUCUGUUGUGUGAUGGGCUCUGUGCAAGUCGAUCAACUGCACACAGCUGAAGAAAAAAACACAUAAACAAAAUCAACUGUUCUAAAAUACCAACAGUAUUCAUUUAAAGGCAUGUACUAUACUCACUGUGUUCCACAAUAUAUGCUCCAUAAAUAUAAUUCCUCCUCUUUUCUGGACAUCACUUAGAACCCUAGAACUCUGGCGCUUUUUUUUUUUAAUCCGAGAGGUGGUAGUCUCAUUUUCACACAUCCUUGUUUCCAUCUCAACAAGUGCCUGUGCCUUCUGUGGUCCAAGGAUAAGUUUCCUUUUAGCUUUCAACAACGUACAACAUGUAGGAAAAAAAAGGAAUUCAGAAUAUCUAUACAAAUAAAAAAGAGUAUCUGAGCAACUAGCAAAGUGCAAUACUACAUCUGCCAUUUUUAAGUAUUCAAAGUUUUCACAACACUUUCUGCAGAAAAUCUUGAAAUCGAAAAGUCUAAUGAGGCACACUGACUGGAUUUCAGAGUGUCAUUUUUAAGCUCAAAUUUUGAAAUCAUUAUGUUCAGACAAGGUCCUGUGUCAUCAUGAACC